GGAUAAAAAUCAAGCCCCUAAUCUACAAAUUAUAAAUUUCCAUAACAGGGGUUUCAAGCUACAAGAUACAAGCUACAAAUAAGGAUUUAAUUUCACGAUUUCAUGAAAAUUAAUUCAUACUUGAAGAUAAGAACAAAUUUUCUACGAGCAAGAGUAUAAUAGGCUUCUUUCUUCCAUAAAUUCACUCACCAAGAAGAAUUAAAAAUGGAUCAAUUACUUCUCCUUCCUUAGAUAGUGUGAUUAAUUUAUUGAACUCGACCUAGUGAGAGAGUGAAACAAAAGAAAAGUUUUCAAUAGUAAUCUAGUGGAUCUUGUAAGAGGAGGGAAGAUAAGGUCUUAAUGUAGAAUUUGAUGCCCAGAACUAUUGCAAAAAAGUUGAUGAAUUCUUCUCUUGGAAUCGACUUUGGUAUUUCUGAGACUAGUAUAUGCGUUAAAUGAAAUCAUUUAAAACUUAUUUAUAUCUUCAUAUUUAGUGGUUUUCUUUACAUGAAAAAAGAAGUGACUUUCUCAUCUCCUUAUCUAUCUGACAUCACCCUCAUUGAAGCUGAAA
Molecule: long non-coding RNA, 550 nt
Filed under: Capsicum annuum
Lineage: Eukaryota; Viridiplantae; Streptophyta; Magnoliopsida; Solanales; Solanaceae
Description: long non-coding RNA (CANN_LNC021338)
Source: RNAcentral